RNAcentral lists this ribosomal RNA (483 nucleotides) under uncultured bacterium. RNAcentral's name for it is "partial 16S ribosomal RNA". It matches the Rfam family "Bacterial small subunit ribosomal RNA", at positions 28 to 507 of the family's 1533-position model. The record is from RNAcentral.
GACGAACGCUGGCGGCGUGCUUAACACAUGCAAGUCGAACGCUGAAGCUCAGCUUUUGUUGGGUGGAUGAGUGGCGAACGGGUGAGUAACACGUGAGUAACCUGCCCCCUUCUUUGGGAUAACGCCCGGAAACGGGUGCUAAUACUGGAUAUUCACUGGUCUUCGCAUGGGGGUUGGUGGAAAGGGUUUUUCUGGUGGGGGAUGGGCUCGCGGCCUAUCAGCUUGUUGGUGGGGUGAUGGCCUACCAAGGCUUUGACGGGUAGCCGGCCUGAGAGGGUGACCGGUCACAUUGGGACUGAGAUACGGCCCAGACUCCUACGGGAGGCAGCAGUGGGGAAUAUUGCACAAUGGGCGCAAGCCUGAUGCAGCGGCGCCGCGUGAGGGAUGGAGGCCUUCGGGUUGUGAACCUCUUUCGCUCAUGGUCAAGCCGCAACAAUGGUUGUGGUGAGGGUAGUGGGUAAAGAAGCGCCGGCUAACUACGUG